CCAAGUGAUCAGAGAGGAACUUCUAAUGUGUAUGACCCCAUAGGUUCAAACCUAAGCCAGUAGCACAAGAACUGAUUUUUGUACCAAUCGAAGUAACCAUCUAGCAAUGGUACCCGAUAUCUGGAUAGGCCGAAUGUAUGCUAAGCAACACUCAAGAGCCUAUUUGAAUAUAAUUAUCGUAUAAUUCAUCCCUUUGAUCUAAAUGCUCAAGGUGACCUAGGGUUUAACUGUCAAUCCCGAUGUGGUCAUCUACAUUGUAUUUCAAUUUUCAAAAUCCAUCACAUGGAUUACCCCGGUCA
RNAcentral lists this long non-coding RNA (299 nucleotides) under Elaeis guineensis (African oil palm). RNAcentral's name for it is "long non-coding RNA (EGUI_LNC070903)". The record is from RNAcentral. Lineage: Eukaryota; Viridiplantae; Streptophyta; Magnoliopsida; Arecales; Arecaceae.